GGAAGCUUUUACUAAAUGGGUGACACCAAGAUGUGCUACACUGAACCCAACUUCUGCAUGUUUAAGACAAGACGCAAGGUCAAAAAUUUACAUCAGGUAUCUGAAUGUGUAGCAUAUACAACUGAGUGUUGAAAGAAGACAAAAUCGUUUUCAUCACGAAGAAUAUGUGCUCAGUAAGAAUCAGAAUGUUCAAUUGUGUGAAGGUGGGAGAUGGGAAGAUUGGUAUUAUGGCCUGGAUCCAGAAAUCAGUCUUCCACUAUAGGAAAUGGGAAUUUAAAGAUGAUCAGAAGACAGUUGGGAGCAGAGUGAGAAUAAGAACCCUCAACUGCUGUCUCACCUUUCAGAUCACGAAGAAGUUUUUUACAAUGAGCAGAACACUCAACCUGAAAGCAGAAUGGAUUGAGUCACUGCAGCGUGGCAGUGGAAUGGUGUUUGAUGUUGGCAAAGGAAACAUGUACUUCUAGACUGGACAGUUUUCCCUUAGUUUACAGUUUCCAAAUAGAGACAUCACUUUGAAAUAACAUGGAGAACAUACAUGGAUGUACUGAACGAAGAAUAAAGUCUGUGUUGCAGUCCUGUCUCCAUUGACUUUUACAAAUAUGGCUUUGGAUGAAUCACCUAAGUUUUAUUUUUGAGAAUUUACGCUUACCAUGUAUAAAAUGAUAUUGCUAAUAUGUUUGCUGCCUACCCCAUUGGGUUUUGUGAGGAAUAAAUGAUAAUGCUAAGAAAAAGGCA
Molecule: long non-coding RNA, 735 nt
Filed under: Homo sapiens (human)
Lineage: Eukaryota; Metazoa; Chordata; Mammalia; Primates; Hominidae
Description: non-protein coding LINC00326:9
Source: RNAcentral